RNAcentral lists this ribosomal RNA (253 nucleotides) under uncultured bacterium. RNAcentral describes it as "partial 16S ribosomal RNA". It matches the Rfam family "Bacterial small subunit ribosomal RNA", at positions 524 to 776 of the family's 1533-position model. The record is from RNAcentral.
UACGAAGGGUGCAAGCGUUAUCCGGAUUCACUGGGUUUAAAGGGUGCGUAGGUGGGCAGGUAAGUCAGUGGUGAAAUCUCCGGGCUUAACCCGGAAACUGCCGUUGAUACUAUUUGUCUUGAAUAUUGUGGAGGUAAGCGGAAUAUGUCAUGUAGCGGUGAAAUGCUUAGAUAUGACAUAGAACACCAAUUGCGAAGGCAGCUUACUACACAACGAUUGACGCUGAGGCACGAAAGCGUGGGGAUCAAACAGG